UGUGUAAAUACUGAAAAGAUGCAAAUCAAAAUGAUUUAUGCUAAUAUUUUCUUCUUUAUCUCCCCCACUCCCCCAAAGAACCAUGAAAAUCCUAGAAAAGAUUCUCGAGGAAACAAAAGUGGAAGGGGCCAUAUCGAUGCAUUCCUCUGAUUUAGUUGUUCUCCUGUUCAAACCCAAUCGUACCUCUGACGACCUUGAAAUUUUCGCCAGUGACAGCGAGGCAGGAUUGACGCCUGUCGCCAACAGGAGAGUGCACGUUCGACUACCGAGAGAAGUUGGAGAAGGGGGGAAAAAGAUUAUCUUUUCCAUGUUUAAGUUUCCUGAAACAAGUAUGUUUGGAACCUUACAUGAAGUGUAUGAACAGCGACUGGUUGGCCUGAGUGUGCAGGGCAAGAAAAUAUCAGGACUACAAGAGCGCUUCAACAUCACCAUGAAUUUCACCACAACAAUAAAUGUAACUACUGAUUUAAUUUAAUAUUUUACUCCAAUCUUACUUUCUAUACCUUUAUA
RNAcentral lists this long non-coding RNA (510 nucleotides) under Oreochromis niloticus (Nile tilapia). RNAcentral describes it as "lncRNA (ENSONIG00000039830.1)". Lineage: Eukaryota; Metazoa; Chordata; Actinopteri; Cichliformes; Cichlidae. The record is from RNAcentral.